Molecule: small nuclear RNA, 107 nt
Organism: Otolemur garnettii (small-eared galago)
Lineage: Eukaryota; Metazoa; Chordata; Mammalia; Primates; Galagidae
Source: Ensembl
GUGCUCACUUCGGCAGCACAUAUACUAAAAUUGGAACGAUACAGAGAAGAUUAGCGUGGCCCCUGCACAAGGGUGACGUGCAAAUUUGUGAAGUGUUCCAUAUUUUA